RNAcentral lists this transfer RNA (74 nucleotides) under Cordylochernes scorpioides. RNAcentral's name for it is "tRNA-Thr". Lineage: Eukaryota; Metazoa; Arthropoda; Arachnida; Pseudoscorpiones; Chernetidae. The record is from RNAcentral.
UGUCCAGGGAUGGGAAUCGAACCCACAGUGUUCCGCUUACCGGGCAGAUACCAUGUCCACUAGGCUACCCUGGC